UACCAAGGCGACGAUCGUUUAGCGGGUCUGAGAGGACGAUCCGCCACACUGGGACUGAGACACGGCCCAGACUCCUACGGGAGGCAGCAGUGGGGAAUUUUUGGACAAAUGGGGCGAAAGCCUGAUCCAGCAAUGCCGCGUGAGUGAAGAAGGCCUUCGGGUUGUAAAGCUCUUUUGUUGGAAGAAAUCCUUAGUGCUAAUACCGCUGGGGAUGACGGUACCAAAAGAAUAAGCACCGGCUAACUACGUGCCAGCAGCCGCGGUAAUACGUAGGGUGCAAGCGUUAAUCGGAAUUACUGGGCGUAAAGCGUGCGCAGGCGGUUUUGUAAGACAGGUGUGAAAUCCCCGAGCUCAACUUGGGAACUGCACUUGUGACUGCAAGACUAGAGUGUGUCAGAGGGAGGUAGAAUUCCACGUGUAGCAGUGAAAUGCGUAGAGAUGUGGAGGAAUACCGGUGGCGAAGGCGGCCUCCUGGGAUAACACUGACGCUCAUGUACGAAAGCGUGGGGAGC
RNAcentral lists this ribosomal RNA (512 nucleotides) under uncultured bacterium. RNAcentral's name for it is "bacterial SSU rRNA". It matches the Rfam family "Bacterial small subunit ribosomal RNA", at positions 266 to 769 of the family's 1533-position model. The record is from RNAcentral.